This 277-nucleotide ribosomal RNA is filed under the name uncultured Actinomycetes bacterium. RNAcentral's name for it is "uncultured actinobacterium partial 16S ribosomal RNA". It matches the Rfam family "Bacterial small subunit ribosomal RNA", at positions 64 to 333 of the family's 1533-position model. The record is from RNAcentral. Lineage: Bacteria; Bacillati; Actinomycetota; Actinomycetes.
GAACGGGGUCCACCGAACCUCGGUUUUGUGACGACCUAGUGGCGAACGGGUGCUGUAACACGUGAGAAACCUGCCCCGGUCUCUGGGAUAACAGCCGGAGACGACUGCUAAUACCGGAUACCGUCGGACCAUCGCAUGGUGGACCGACGAAAGGGUUACCGGAUCGGGAGGGUCUCGCGGGCUAUCAGCUUGUUGGUGAGGUAACGGCUCACCAAGGCAUUGACGGGUAGCUAGUCUGAGAGGAUGAUCAGGCACACUGAGACUGAGACACGGGCCA